Manihot esculenta (cassava) is the source of this 76-nucleotide small nucleolar RNA. RefSeq annotates it as small nucleolar RNA R66. Lineage: Eukaryota; Viridiplantae; Streptophyta; Magnoliopsida; Malpighiales; Euphorbiaceae. The record is from RefSeq and is a predicted model, not a curated record. The transcript has a single exon.
UCCGAUGAUGGCAUGGAAUCUUUGAGACCUGAAUUCAUGUAAUUUGAUGAAAAUUACAAGCUUAAUUACUGAGGAC